This 64-nucleotide small nuclear RNA is filed under the name Sorex araneus (European shrew). Its description in RNAcentral is "U7 small nuclear RNA (ENSSARG00000019311.1)". It matches the Rfam family "U7 small nuclear RNA". From Rfam's summary of the family: Animal histone pre-mRNAs are spliced by a different mechanism than nuclear pre-mRNAs and self-splicing introns. This processing involves the U7 snRNP, which contains only one RNA species: U7. Lineage: Eukaryota; Metazoa; Chordata; Mammalia; Eulipotyphla; Soricidae. The record is from RNAcentral.
UAGUGUUACUGCUCUUUUUGAACUUGUCCAGCAGUUUUAAUCCAUUUUUUUCUGAAAAGUCCAC